GCCGGGCAUGGUGGCGGGCGCCUGUAAUUCCAGCUACUUGGGAGGCUGAGGCAGGAAAAUUGCUUGAACCCGGGAGGUGGAGUUGCAGUGAGCUGAGAUUGCGCCGCUGCACUCCAGCCUGGGUGACAGAGGGAGACUCUGUCUCAAGAAAAAAACAAACAAACAAAAAAACAAUGAAUCACGUGAAUCUGCGAGGUGGAGGUUGCAGUGAGCUGAGAUUGUGCCACUGCACUCCAGCCUGGGUGACAGAGUGAGACUCUGUCUCA
Molecule: small RNA, 266 nt
Filed under: Pongo abelii (Sumatran orangutan)
Lineage: Eukaryota; Metazoa; Chordata; Mammalia; Primates; Hominidae
Source: RNAcentral